RNAcentral lists this ribosomal RNA (402 nucleotides) under uncultured prokaryote. RNAcentral describes it as "bacterial SSU rRNA". It matches the Rfam family "Bacterial small subunit ribosomal RNA", at positions 355 to 774 of the family's 1533-position model. The record is from RNAcentral.
UAGGGAAUAUUAGAAAUGGACGAAAGUCUGAUCUAGCAACACCGCCUGUGCGACGAAGGCCUUCGGGUUGUAAAGCACUUUUUGGAAGGAUUAGGAAGGAAUGUACUUCCAGAAUAAGUCUCGGCUAACUACGUGCCAGCAGCCGCGGUAACACGUAGGAGGCAAACGUUAUCCGGAUUUACUGGGCGUAAAGCGCGUGUAGGUGGUUCUUUAAGUAGGGCGUGAAAGCUUCUGGCUCAACUGGGAGAGGCCGUUCUAAACUACAGAACUAGAGGAUGGCAGAGGGAGGUUGAAUUCCAGGUGUAGCGGUGGAAUGCGCAGAUAUCUGGAGGAACACCAGUGGCGAAGGCGGCCUCCUGGACCAUUCCUGACACUCAGACGCGAAAGCUAGGGUAGCAAACG